Molecule: ribosomal RNA, 764 nt
Filed under: uncultured bacterium
Lineage: Bacteria
Description: bacterial LSU rRNA
Rfam family: Bacterial large subunit ribosomal RNA (bases 80-764)
Source: RNAcentral
AGCAAACCAAGUUCCACGUCGUAAAAGCAUGUGAGUGUCUGUAGAACAAGGACUUUCAAGUGAUUGGGGUGAGUUUUAUGGUCAAGCUACUAAGAGCAUGCGUGUGGAUGCUAGGGCACAAACAGGCGAUGAAGGACGUGGCCAGCUGCGAAAAGCUUCGGGGAGGUGCAAGCAACCUGUGAUCCGGAGAUGUCCGAAUGGGGGAACCCACCGAUUGCGAACAGUCGGUACCGUGCGCUGAAUCCAUAGGCGUAUGGAGCGAACCCGGGGAAGUGAACCAUCUCAGUACCCGGAGGAAGAGAAAACAACCGUGAUUCCGAUAGUAGUGGCGAGCGAACUCGGAAGAGCCUAAACCGUUCGAUUCGAAAGGAGAGAGCGGGGUCGUAGGAUCACAAUAAUACCCGGUCUUCAUUGGAGACAGUGAGGGACGGGGAUUAAACGAAUGAUAAGAGAGCGUUAAGAGAACGGCAUGGGAAGGCCGGCCAGAGAGGGUGACAGCCCCGUAUCUGAAAAUGCAAUCUUCGUUCCAGUGACUCCUGAGUACCGCGGGGCACGAGAAACCCUGCGGGAAUCCACCGGGACCAUCCGGUAAGGCUAAAUACUCGUUUGUGACCGAUAGUGAACCAGUACCGUGAGGGAAAGGCGAAAAGAACCCCUGUGAGGGGAGUGAAAUAGUACCUGAAACCGCAUGCUUACAAGCAGUGGGAGGGCCAUGUCGCAAGACAAGCCUGACCUCGUGCCUAUUGAAUAAUGAGCCGGCUAGU